GAUGAACGCUGGCGGCGUGCCUAAUACAUGCAAGUCGAGCGAACAGACGAGGAGCUUGCUCCUCUGACGUUAGCGGCGGACGGGUGAGUAACACGUGGAUAACCUACCUAUAAGACUGGGAUAACUUCGGGAAACCGGAGCUAAUACCGGAUAAUAUAUUGAACCGCAUGGUUCAAUAGUGAAAGACGGUUUUGCUGUCACUUAUAGAUGGAUCCGCGCGGCAUUAGCUAGUUGGUAAGGUAACGGCUUACCAAGGCAACGAUGCGUAGCCGACCUGAGAGGUGGAUCGGCAACACUGGAACGGAGACACGGUCCAGACUCCUAGGGGAGGCAGCAGUGGGGAAUCUUCCGCAAGGGGCGAAAGCCUGACGGAGCAACGCCGCGUGAGUGAUGAAGGUCUUCGGUUCGUAAAACUCUGUUAUUAGGAAAGAACAAAUGUGUAAGUAACUAUGCACGUCUGGACGGUACCUAAUCAGAAGGCCCCGGCUAAUUACGG
RNAcentral lists this ribosomal RNA (496 nucleotides) under uncultured bacterium. RNAcentral's name for it is "partial 16S ribosomal RNA". It matches the Rfam family "Bacterial small subunit ribosomal RNA", at positions 28 to 506 of the family's 1533-position model. The record is from RNAcentral.